CCUACGGGAGGCAGCAGUGGGGAAUUUUGGACAAUGGGCGCAAGCCUGAUCCAGCCAUGCCGCGUGCAGGAUGAAGGCCUUCGGGCUGUAAACUGCUUUUGUACGGAACGAAAAGACUCUGGUUAAUACCUGGGGUCCAUGACGGUACCGUAAGAAUAAGCACCGGCUAACUACGUGCCAGCAGCCGCGGUAAUACGUAGGGUGCGAGCGUUAAUCGGAAUUACUGGGCGUAAAGCGUGCGCAGGCGGUUAUGUAAGACAGAUGUGAAAUCCCCGGGCUCAACCUGGGAACUGCAUUUGUGACUGCAUAGCUAGAGUACGGCAGAGGGGGAUGGAAUUCCGCGUGUAGCAGUGAAAUGCGUAGAUAUGCGGAGGAACACCGAUGGCGAAGGCAAUCCCCUGGGCCUGUACUGACGCUCAUGCACGAAAGCGUGGGGAGCAAACAGGAUUAGAUACCCUGGUAGUCCACGCCCUAAACGAUGUCAACUGGUUGUUGGGUCUUCACUGACUCAGUAACGAAGCUAACGCGUGAAGUUGACCGCCUGGGGGAGGUUACGGCGCGAGGUUAGUAACGUUACAAUUAGAGUUAGACGGCGNGAGACGNGCCGACGGACGACGACGAGGGAGGAGG
RNAcentral lists this ribosomal RNA (630 nucleotides) under uncultured bacterium. Its description in RNAcentral is "bacterial SSU rRNA". The stretch from base 1 to 542 matches the Rfam family "Bacterial small subunit ribosomal RNA", at positions 338 to 873 of the family's 1533-position model. The record is from RNAcentral.